Mandrillus leucophaeus (drill) is the source of this 1651-nucleotide RNA transcript. It is a transcript of the gene named ferritin heavy chain-like, with no coding region annotated. The record is from RefSeq and is a predicted model, not a curated record. Lineage: Eukaryota; Metazoa; Chordata; Mammalia; Primates; Cercopithecidae. The transcript is spliced from 3 exons.
GAAUCGUCAUCCAGGGACCUGCCAGAAACCACAAGAAAACAUGGGGAGGGUUUUCCUCACGGGAGAAAAAGCCAAUUCCGUAUUAAAACGCUACCCAAGAGCUAAUGGGUUUUUUGAAGAAAUAAGACAGGGCAACAUUGAGCGUGAGUGCAAAGAAGAAUUCUGUACAUUUGAAGAAGCAAGAGAAGCUUUUGAAAAUAAUGAAAAAACUGGUCUUGUUCUGUUGCCAAGGCUGGAGUGCAGCUGUGAACAUGGCUCAUUGCAGCCUCAACUUUCUGUGCUCAAGUGAUCCUCCCAUCUCAGCCUCCCAAGUAGCUGGGGACCACAGGUGCAUGCCACCAUGGCUGGCUAAUUAAAAAAAAAAAAAAUUCUGCAUGCAGACAAGGUCCCAUCAUGUUGCCUAGGCUGGUCUCAAACUCCUGGACUCAAGUGAUCCUCCUACCUUGGCCUGCCAAAGUGCUGGAAUUUAUAGGUGUGAGAUACCAUGCCUGGCCAUCUAUUUUAAAAUAUUUAAACUCAAGGCAAACUCUAGACAAAACAGAACUAAAUCUAGAAGGAGCUAUAAUACGGGAAACAGAAGAGAAUGUUACCAAAAAUAUCAAAUUGAUAUUAUCAGAAUUUAAGAAAACAAUAGGUUUAUAAAAUGAGAAGAAGCUAUUACAGAGGGGACCAAUUAAGGGAUAAUAGAAAGUCCUUGGACAUUAGAAAUGUUACUGCAAAGCUAAAAACUGGACACAGGUUAGACAGUGCAGAGUUCACUGGGUUGCACACGGAACGUAGUGCUCAUUCUCCUCCCUGCCCACUUCCACUGAAAAGGAAUGCACCCCUCCCCUGAUAAUGGACCCAAAUACCCACUUCCGGCCGUUUCUGCCAUUAGCCAUCCGCCUUCAGCCAACCACUACCACCACAGCUCCCGCCUGCCUGCUCAUCGCUCCCCAAGGUGCCCGCCAUGGCCACCACCCCAGUGUUGCAGGUGCAUCAGAACUACCACCCCAACUGCAAGGCCACUGUCAACAACCACGUCAACCUGGGAUUCCAUGCCUCCAACGUGUACCUGUCCAUGGCCUUCUUCUACUUCGACCGGGAUGACGCGGCCCUGGAGCACUUUGGCCGCUACUUCCUGCACCAGUUGCACAAGAAGAGGGAGCACGCCCAGGAGCUGAUGAGGCUGCAGAACCAGCACGCUGGCUGCAUCUGCUUUCACUACAUCAGGAAGUCAGAGCGUCAAGACGGAGAGCAGGCUCGAGGCCAUGGAGUGCGCCUUCCACCUGGAGAAGAGUGUCAACCAGAGCCUCCUGGAGCUGCACCAGCUGACCAUGGAGAAAGGUGACCCCCAGCUGUGUGACUUCCUGGAGAGCCACUUCCUGAACCAGCAGGUCAAGGCCAUCAGAGAGCUGGGUGAUUACCUGAGCAACCUGUGUAAGACGUGGGCCCCAGAAGCAGGCCUGGCAGAGUACCUGUUUGACAAGUUCACUCUGGGCGGCAGCGAGGAAGACACCUGAGCCAAGAUGGGCCCCACAGCCACAGUGUGCUUUCCCUGGGUCAGGCCGCCAGGCGGGGUGUGCAUGUUGCCCUUUUAGAACGUUCUCUUCAGUUUUUCUCCUUUCAGUGUUACCAUUAUUGGCAAUAAAAUUAUCUGUUCUCAAAGCAA